GCCCGCUUAGCUCAAUGGGAGAGCGACGGUUUUACACACCGUAUACGGGGGUUCGAUUCCCUCAGUGGGUAC
This 72-nucleotide transfer RNA is filed under the name Streptomyces phage Jay2Jay. Its description in RNAcentral is "tRNA-Val". It matches the Rfam family "tRNA". From Rfam's summary of the family: Transfer RNA (tRNA) molecules are approximately 80 nucleotides in length. Their secondary structure includes four short double-helical elements and three loops (D, anti-codon, and T loops). RNAcentral also lists the same sequence under 5 other names. The record is from RNAcentral. Lineage: Duplodnaviria; Heunggongvirae; Uroviricota; Caudoviricetes; Stanwilliamsviridae.